UGCAGUCGAACGGCAGCACAGUAAGAGCUUGCUCUUAUGGGUGGCGAGUGGCGGACGGGUGAGGAGUACAUCGGACUCUACUCUUUCGUGGGGGAUAACGUAGGGAAACUUACGCUAAUACCGCAUACGACCUACGGGUGAAAGCGGAAGACCUUCGGGCUUCGCGCGAUUGAAUGAGCCGAUGUCAGAUUAGCUAGUUGGCGGGGUAAAGGCCCACCAGCGCUACUAUCCGUAUCUGGUCUGAGAGGAUGAUCACCCACACUGGAACUGAGACACGGUCCACACUCCUACGGGAGGCAGCAGUGGGGAAUAUUGGACAAUGGGCGCACGCCUGAUCCACCCAUGCCGCGUGUGUGAAGAACGCCUUCGGGUUGUAAAGCCCUUUUGUUGGGAAAGAAAAGCAGUCGGUUAAUACCCGAUUGUUCUGACGGUACCCAAAGAAUACGCACCGGCUAACUUCGUGCCAGCAGCCGCGGUAAUACAAAGGGUGCACGCGUUACUCGGAAUUACUGGGCGUAAAGCGUGCGUACGUGGUGGUUUAAGUCUGUUGUGAAAGCCCUGGGCUCAACCUGGGAAUUGCAGUGGAUACUGGGUCACUAGAGUGUGGUAGAGGGUAGCGGAAUUCCCGGUGUAGCAGUGAAAUGCGUAGAGAUCGGGAGGAACAUCCGUGGCGAACGCGGCUACCUGGACCAACACUGACACUGAGGCACGAAAGCGUGGGGAGCAAACAGGAUUAGAUACCCUGGUAGUCCACGCCCUAAACGAUGCGAACUGGAUGUUGGGUGCAAUUUGGCACGCACUAUCGAAGCUAACGCGUUAAGUUCGCCGCCUGGGGAGUACGGUCGCAAGACUGAAACUCAAAGGAAUUGACGGGGGCCCGCACAAGCGGUGGAAUAUGUGGUUUAUUUCUAUGCAACGCGAAGAACCUUACCUGGUCUUGACAUCCACGGAACUUUCCAAAGAUGGAUUGGUGCCUUCGGGAACCGUGAAACAGGUGCUGCAUGGCUGUCCUCAGCUCGUGUCCUG
This 1026-nucleotide ribosomal RNA is filed under the name Xanthomonas arboricola. RNAcentral's name for it is "bacterial SSU rRNA". It matches the Rfam family "Bacterial small subunit ribosomal RNA", at positions 56 to 1069 of the family's 1533-position model. Lineage: Bacteria; Pseudomonadati; Pseudomonadota; Gammaproteobacteria; Lysobacterales; Lysobacteraceae. The record is from RNAcentral.